RNAcentral lists this transfer RNA (71 nucleotides) under Lachnospiraceae bacterium. RNAcentral's name for it is "tRNA-His". It matches the Rfam family "tRNA". Rfam says of the family: Transfer RNA (tRNA) molecules are approximately 80 nucleotides in length. Their secondary structure includes four short double-helical elements and three loops (D, anti-codon, and T loops). RNAcentral also lists the same sequence under 2 other names. The record is from RNAcentral. Lineage: Bacteria; Bacillati; Bacillota; Clostridia; Lachnospirales; Lachnospiraceae.
GUGGCUAUAGGACAGUGGCAGUCCGGCAGACUGUGGAUCUGCUUACGGGGGUUCGAUUCCCCCUGGUCACA